RNAcentral lists this ribosomal RNA (253 nucleotides) under uncultured bacterium. Its description in RNAcentral is "partial 16S ribosomal RNA". It matches the Rfam family "Bacterial small subunit ribosomal RNA", at positions 524 to 776 of the family's 1533-position model. The record is from RNAcentral.
GAAGGAGGGCGCUAGCGUUGGUCGGAAUUACUGGGCGUAAAGGGCGCGUAGGCGGCCUGGUCAGUCGGGUGUGAAAGCCCGGGGCUCAACCCCGGAACGGCACCCGAGACGGCCAGGCUGGAGACCGGGAGAGGAGGGUGGAAUAGCCAGUGUAGAGGUGAAAUUCGUAGAUAUUGGCUGGGACACCGGUGGCGAAAGCGGCUCUCUGGCCCGGUUCUGACGCUGAGGCGCGAAAGCUUGGGGAGCAAACAGG